This 374-nucleotide long non-coding RNA is filed under the name Panax ginseng (ginseng). Its description in RNAcentral is "long non-coding RNA (PGIN_LNC004210)". Lineage: Eukaryota; Viridiplantae; Streptophyta; Magnoliopsida; Apiales; Araliaceae. The record is from RNAcentral.
ACAUCUUAUACUCUUGGAUAUACCAUGAUCCAUGAUCCAUUUCAUCAAAAUCUUACCAUAAACAAACAAAACUUAAUCUAAACCACGAAAAGUGAGAUCAUGGUUUAGAAAACUUUUCAAUCAUUGCUAGGAAUGGUUGGAUGAUGGCUACUCCUUCUUGGAUGAGUUUGAAAGCCCUCUUCUCUCUACUCCUCCAUAAUCAUGGCCUCCCCCUUCCAUUCCCUCUCAAGCUCUCAAGUUUUCUCUUGGAUUUUUGGGUGAGAGUGAGGGAGAAAACCCAUGGUUUCUUCUUUAUCUUCUUCAUCUUCUUUCUCUUUUUCUUCUCAUCUCUCCUUCCUCUUCUCUAAUGGUUGAUCUCUUUCUCUCUCUUCUUC